This 156-nucleotide ribosomal RNA is filed under the name Perenniporia medulla-panis. RNAcentral's name for it is "5.8S ribosomal RNA". It matches the Rfam family "5.8S ribosomal RNA". Rfam says of the family: 5.8S ribosomal RNA (5.8S rRNA) is a component of the large subunit of the eukaryotic ribosome. It is transcribed by RNA polymerase I as part of the 45S precursor that also contains 18S and 28S rRNA. The record is from RNAcentral. Lineage: Eukaryota; Fungi; Basidiomycota; Agaricomycetes; Polyporales; Polyporaceae.
ACGCAUCUAUGUACAACUUUCAGCAACGGAUCUCUUGGCUCUCGCAUCGAUGAAGAACGCAGCGAAAUGCGAUAAGUAAUGUGAAUUGCAGAAUUCAGUGAAUCAUCGAAUCUUUGAACGCACCUUGCGCUCCUUGGUAUUCCGAGGAGCAUGCCU